AUACGAAGGGGAGCUUGUAGACAGGCUGAGAGGAAAUUGUGAAUUUCGACCCUAUAAACCUGAUAUGGGUAAUGCCGGCGUAGGGAUCGAAA
This 92-nucleotide non-coding RNA is filed under the name human gut metagenome. RNAcentral's name for it is "TPP riboswitch (THI element)". It matches the Rfam family "TPP riboswitch aptamer (THI element)", at positions 6 to 94 of the family's 105-position model. Rfam says of the family: Vitamin B(1) in its active form thiamin pyrophosphate (TPP) is an essential coenzyme that is synthesised by coupling of pyrimidine and thiazole moieties in bacteria. The previously detected thiamin-regulatory element, thi box was extended, resulting in a new, highly conserved RNA secondary structure, the THI element, which is widely distributed in eubacteria and also occurs in some archaea. The record is from RNAcentral.